GUUACUGAGUUGCAUUCGCUGCCUGUGGGACUCUCCGCUUUUGCGCGUAAGCUAGAGUAACCCUCAUCACAACGAUUCUUUGCUCUUUUGUUUGAACCUGUCCUGUUGAGUUUGUUAGUUUGCCCCGUAGUCAUCGUACCUUGCUGCACGCCUUUUGGAUCCCGCCUAGCCUAGCGUUUCCGUGCCUCUGCCUUGUCGGACCGCUACACCGCGUACGACCCAAUUUCCGGAAUAAACCGCAUUGAACAUGAUGCCUCUGCCUCGAAGUCCUGCAUUUGGGUCUGACCCCGCACCGGAGAUUCCGAUUCUGGUCCUGAUUAAAUGUGGAAAGAUGUUUUGAGCGGAGCAAGGGGAAUACGUUAUGGACCCGCCCGCCCGCCCGCCCGCAAUGGCUGAAAAUCAGCAAUCUGAAGGGACCGUAAAAAAAACACCUAAC
Molecule: long non-coding RNA, 436 nt
Organism: Syngnathoides biaculeatus (alligator pipefish)
Lineage: Eukaryota; Metazoa; Chordata; Actinopteri; Syngnathiformes; Syngnathidae
Exons: 3
Source: RefSeq, a predicted model, not a curated record